GGCCGAGUUGUAAUUUGCAGAGGAUGUUUUGAAACUUGUAUGCAAUCAAAUUCUUUGGAAAAAGAUGCCAUGGAAAGUGACAGUCUUGUGCUUUGUAAUACAUGUUUCGUACAAAACUCCUUCAAAGAGUCGAGUUGUUUGGGAAUGCAGCUCAAAGUGGGACGUAAAUUUGUUCCAAAGCUAAAUACCGGCUAGAGACCGAUAGCGCACAAGUAGAGUGAUCGAAAGAUGAAAAGCACUUUGAAAAGAGAGUUAAAAAGCACGUGAAAUUGUUGAAAGGGAAGCUUAUGUCAUCAGAAAUAUUCUCCAUGUUCAGCCGUAUGGUCAAUUCAUGGACGAAUAGGCUAGCAUUAAUUGAGAUUGUUGGAUAAAACUUUGGAAAUGUAGCUCUUCCGAGAGUGUUAUAGUCCAAAAUGUAAUACAACGCAUCUCGAUUGAGGACCGCUUAUAGGAUGCU
This 457-nucleotide ribosomal RNA is filed under the name Astrothelium eustomum. RNAcentral's name for it is "eukaryotic LSU rRNA". It matches the Rfam family "Eukaryotic large subunit ribosomal RNA", at positions 136 to 627 of the family's 3401-position model. Lineage: Eukaryota; Fungi; Ascomycota; Dothideomycetes; Trypetheliales; Trypetheliaceae. The record is from RNAcentral.